UAGGGAAUCUUCCACAAUGGACGCAAGUCUGAUGGAGCAACGCCGCGUGAGUGAAGAAGGUUUUCGGAUCGUAAAGCUCUGUUGUUGGUGAAGAAGGAUAGAGGUAGUAACUGGCCUUUAUUUGACGGUAAUCAACCAGAAAGUCACGGCUAACUACGUGCCAGCAGCCGCGGUAAUACGUAGGUGGCAAGCGUUGUCCGGAUUUAUUGGGCGUAAAGCGAGCGCAGGCGGAAGAAUAAGUCUGAUGUGAAAGCCCUCGGCUUAACCGAGGAAUUGCAUCGGAAACUGUUUUCUUGAGUGCAGAAGAGGAGAGUGGAACUCCAUGUGUAGCGGUGGAAUGCGUAGAUAUAUGGAAGAACACCAGUGGCGAAGGCGGCUCUCUGGUCUGCAACUGACGCUGAGGCUCGAAAGCAUGGGUAGCGAACAGGAUUAGAUACCCUGGUAGUCCAUGCCGUAAACGAUGAGUGCUAAGUGUUGGGAGGUUUCCGCCUCUCAGUGCUGCAGCUAACGCAUUAAGCACUCCGCCUGGGGGAGUACGACCGCAAGGUUGAAACUCUAAA
Molecule: ribosomal RNA, 560 nt
Filed under: uncultured bacterium
Lineage: Bacteria
Description: partial 16S ribosomal RNA
Rfam family: Bacterial small subunit ribosomal RNA
Source: RNAcentral